GAGGGUGUAGCUCAGGGGUGGAGCACAUGCUUAGCAUGCAUGAGGUCCUGGGUUCCAUCCCCAGUGCCUCCA
This 72-nucleotide transfer RNA is filed under the name Camelus bactrianus (Bactrian camel). It matches the Rfam family "tRNA". Rfam says of the family: Transfer RNA (tRNA) molecules are approximately 80 nucleotides in length. Their secondary structure includes four short double-helical elements and three loops (D, anti-codon, and T loops). The record is from Rfam by way of RNAcentral. RNAcentral also lists the same sequence under 1 other name. Lineage: Eukaryota; Metazoa; Chordata; Mammalia; Artiodactyla; Camelidae.